This 284-nucleotide unclassified non-coding RNA is filed under the name plant metagenome. RNAcentral's name for it is "partial contains small subunit ribosomal RNA, internal transcribed spacer 1, and 5.8S ribosomal RNA". The stretch from base 1 to 53 matches the Rfam family "Eukaryotic small subunit ribosomal RNA", at positions 1778 to 1831 of the family's 1831-position model. The record is from RNAcentral.
GGAAGUAAAGUCGUAACAAGGUUUCCGUAGGUGAACCUGCGGAAGGAUCAUUAUUGUAUAACCGAGGUGCGAGGGCUGUCGCUGACCCGAAAGGUCGUGCACACCCGAGUGCCCUCACACACAUCCAUCUCACCCCUAUGUGCACCACCGCGUGGGUCCCCCUUUGGCUUGUUCGGAGGGGGGCUUACGUUUUCACACAAACUUUGUAUGCAGUGUAGAAUGUAUUUUUUGUUUUCGCGAUCACGCAAUCAAUACAACUUUCAACAACGGAUCUCUUGGCUCUC